This 253-nucleotide ribosomal RNA is filed under the name uncultured bacterium. RNAcentral describes it as "partial 16S ribosomal RNA". It matches the Rfam family "Bacterial small subunit ribosomal RNA", at positions 524 to 776 of the family's 1533-position model. The record is from RNAcentral.
GACAGGGGUCUCAAGCGUUAAUCGGAAUCACUGGGCUUAAAGGGUGCGUAGGCGGACCUGUAAGUGUCCUGUGAAAGCCCUCGGCUCAACCGAGGAAGUGCGCCCGAAACUGCAGAGCUUGAGUACCGGAGAGGAUGGCGGAAUUCCCCAAGUAGAGGUGAAAUUCGUAGAUAUGGGGAGGAACACCGGUGGCGAAGGCGGCCAUCUGGACGGAUACUGACGCUGAGACGCGAAAGCGUGGGUAGCAAACAGG